UGGGGAAUCUUGCGCAAUGGGCGAAAGCCUGACGCAGCCAUGCCGCGUGAAUGAUGAAGGUCUUNGGAUUGUAAAUUCUUUCAGCGGGGACGAUAAUGACGGUACCCGCAGAAGAAGCCCCGGCUAACUUCGUGCCAGCGCCGCGGUAAUACGAAGGGGGCUAGCGUUGCUCGGAUUUACUGGGCGUAAAGGGCGCGUAGGCGGAUUGACAAGUUGGGGUGAAGCCCGGGGCUCAACCUCGGAAUAGCCUUCAAACUGUCAGUCUUGAGUUCGGGAGAGGUGAGUGGAACUCCGAGUGUAGAGGUGAAAUUUCCGUAGAUAUUCGGAAGAACACCAGUGGCGAAGGCGACUCACUGGCCCGAUACUGACGCUGAGGCGCGAAAGCGUGGGGAGCAAACAGGAUUAGAUACCCGUGGUAGUCCACGCUGUAAACGAUGAGUGCUAGUUGUCGGCAGGCAUGCCUGUCGGUGACGCAGCUAACGCAUUAAG
RNAcentral lists this ribosomal RNA (489 nucleotides) under uncultured bacterium. RNAcentral's name for it is "partial 16S ribosomal RNA". It matches the Rfam family "Bacterial small subunit ribosomal RNA", at positions 355 to 864 of the family's 1533-position model. The record is from RNAcentral.